Molecule: ribosomal RNA, 484 nt
Filed under: uncultured bacterium
Lineage: Bacteria
Description: partial 16S ribosomal RNA
Rfam family: Bacterial small subunit ribosomal RNA
Source: RNAcentral
AGGGAAAGAGGGAGGCAGGCCUAACACAUGCGAGUCGAGCGGAUGAAGGGAGCUUGCUCCUGGAUUCAGCGGCGGACGGGUGAGUAAUGCCUAGGAAUCUGCCUGGUAGUGGGGGAUAACGUCCGGAAACGGGCGCUAAUACCGCAUACGUCCUGAGGGAGAAAGUGGGGGAUCUUCGGACCUCACGCUAUCAGAUGAGCCUAGGUCGGAUUAGCUAGUUGGUGGGGUAAAGGCCUACCAAGGCGACGAUCCGUAACUGGUCUGAGAGGAUGAUCAGUCACACUGGAACUGAGACACGGUCCAGACUCCUACGGGAGGCAGCAGUGGGGAAUAUUGGACAAUGGGCGAAAGCCUGAUCCAGCCAUGCCGCGUGUGUGAAGAAGGUCUUCGGAUUGUAAAGCACUUUAAGUUGGGAGGAAGGGCAGUAAGUUAAUACCUUGCUGUUUUGACGUUACCAACAGAAUAAGCACCGGCUAACUUCGUG